Non-coding RNA from Araneus ventricosus, 67 nucleotides. NCBI's taxonomy places the organism in Eukaryota, Metazoa, Arthropoda, Arachnida, Araneae, Araneidae. The record is from the annotation of a GenBank genome assembly.
GGACAUUGGUCUAGUGGUUAAGAUGUUCGGCUCGAAACCCAAUGGUCCCCGUUCUAUACUGCCGCCA